UACGAAGGGGGCUAGCGUUGCUCGGAAUCACUGGGCGUAAAGCGCACGUAGGCGGAUUGUUAAGUCAGGGGUGAAAUCCUGGAGCUCAACUCCAGAACUGCCUUUGAUACUGGCGAUCUUGAGUCCGGGAGAGGUGAGUGGAACUCCGAGUGUAGAGGUGAAAUUCGUAGAUAUUCGGAAGAACACCAGUGGCGAAGGCGGCUCACUGGCCCGGUACUGACGCUGAGGUGCGAAAGCGUGGGGAGCAAACAGGG
Molecule: ribosomal RNA, 254 nt
Filed under: uncultured bacterium
Lineage: Bacteria
Description: partial 16S ribosomal RNA
Rfam family: Bacterial small subunit ribosomal RNA
Source: RNAcentral